CCUACGGGAGGCAGCAGUGAGGAAUAUUGGUCAAUGGACGAGCGUCUGAACCAGCCAAGUAGCGUGAAGGAUGACUGCCCUAUGGGUUGUAAACUUCUUUUAUAAAGGAAUAAAACGAGGCACGUGUGCCUUUUUGCAUGUACUUUAUGAAUAAGGAUCGGCUAACUCCGUGCCAGCAGCCGCGGUAAUACGGAGGAUCCGAGCGUUAUCCGGAUUUAUUGGGUUUAAAGGGAGCGUAGAUGGGUUGUUAAGUCAGUUGUGAAAGUUUGCGGCUCAACCGUAAAAUUGCAAUUGAUACUGGCAGUCGUGAGUACAGUUGAGGUAGGCGGAAUUCGUGGUGUAGCGGUGAAAUGCUUAGAUAUCACGAAGAACCCCGAUUGCGAAGGCAGCUUACUAAACUGUGACUGACAUUGAUGCUCGAAAGUGUGGGUAUCAAACAGGAUUAGAUACCCGAGUAGUC
Molecule: ribosomal RNA, 460 nt
Filed under: uncultured bacterium
Lineage: Bacteria
Description: partial 16S ribosomal RNA
Rfam family: Bacterial small subunit ribosomal RNA
Source: RNAcentral